Molecule: ribosomal RNA, 475 nt
Filed under: uncultured Raphidiophrys
Lineage: Eukaryota; Centroplasthelida; Pterocystida; Raphidiophryidae
Description: partial small subunit ribosomal RNA
Rfam family: Eukaryotic small subunit ribosomal RNA
Source: RNAcentral
GCUUGUCUCAAAGAUUAAGCCAUGCAUGUCUAAGAAUAAGCCCUUUGAACGGCGAAUCUGCGAAUGGCUCAUUACAUCAGUUAUUGUUUAUUUGAUGGUACCUUAAGCCUUGAAUGGCUGGGCUACUUGGAUAACCGUAGUAAUUCUAGAGCUAAUACAUGCUACACCAAUCCCUGUGUCUCGGUGAGCAAUCACUGUGGGCUAGGGGAGCAUUUAUUAGAUUCAAACCAUCGGAGCGUGCUCCAAGGGUCGCAAGACUCUUAUAUGGUGAGUCAUAAUAACUAAGCGAAUCGGAUUAACAAAACAGUCUUGCUUCGGUAAGACUGGAUCCGAUGCUUCAUUCAAAUUUCUGCCCUAUCAGCUGUCGAUGGUAGGAUCUUGGCCUACCAUGGCGAUCACGGGUAACGGGGAAUAAGGGUUCGAUUCCGGAGAGGGAGCUUGAGAAACGGCUACCACAUCCAAGGAAGGCAGCAGG